AACGAACGCUGGCGGCAGGCUUAACACAUGCAAGUCGAACGCAUCGCAAGAUGAGUGGCAGACGGGUGAGUAACGCGUGGGAACAUACCCUUUUCUACGGAAUAGCUCUGGGAAACUGGAAUUAAUACCGUAUACGCCCUACGGGGGAAAGAUUUAUCGGGGAAGGAUUGGCCCGCGUUGGAUUAGCUAGUUGGUGGGGUAAAGGCCUACCAAGGCGACGAUCCAUAGCUGGUCUGAGAGGAUGAUCAGCCACAUUGGGACUGAGACACGGCCCAAACUCCUACGGGAGGCAGCAGUGGGGAAUAUUGGACAAUGGGCGCAAGCCUGAUCCAGCCAUGCCGCGUGAGUGAUGAAGGCCUUAGGGUUGUAAAGCUCUUUCACCGAUGAAGAUAAUGACGGUAGUCGGAGAAGAAGCCCCGGCUAACUUCGUGCCAGCAGCCGCCGCGG
This 447-nucleotide ribosomal RNA is filed under the name uncultured bacterium. RNAcentral describes it as "partial 16S ribosomal RNA". It matches the Rfam family "Bacterial small subunit ribosomal RNA", at positions 29 to 523 of the family's 1533-position model. The record is from RNAcentral.